Molecule: ribosomal RNA, 391 nt
Filed under: uncultured bacterium
Lineage: Bacteria
Description: partial 16S ribosomal RNA
Rfam family: Bacterial small subunit ribosomal RNA
Source: RNAcentral
AUACGGAGGAUCCGAGCGUUAUCCGGAUUUAUUGGGUUUAAAGGGUGCGCAGGCGGCCAUUUAAGUCAGCGGUUAAAUCGUGGGCUCAGCCCCAUUCUGCCGUUGAUACUGGGUGGCUUGAUUGCGGUCGAGGUUGGCGGAAUUCGUUGUGUAGCGGUGAAAUGCAUAGAUAUGACGAAGAACACCGAUUGCGUAGGCAGCUGACCAGACCGCAAAUGACGCUCAUGCACGAAAGUGCGGGGAUCGAACAGGAUUAGAUACCCUGGUAGUCCGCACAGUAAACGAUGAAUACUUGUUUUCGGCGAUAUAAUGUCGGAGGCAAAGCGAAAGCGAUAAGUAUUCCACCUGGGGAGUACGCCGGCAACGGUGAAACUCAAAUGAAUUGGCGGGG